AUUGUGAUCAUCAUGAGUUAAAAAAUCCGCACAUAUGUCGACACAUUCCUCUGGGUGCUUUUAUUAAAUCAAGCAGUUAGUUUUUGCUAAAUGCAAGAUUGAACAAAGUGGAGAAUGCGGACAUAUGGAGGCCUAACC
Molecule: small RNA, 138 nt
Filed under: Acinetobacter marinus
Lineage: Bacteria; Pseudomonadati; Pseudomonadota; Gammaproteobacteria; Moraxellales; Moraxellaceae
Description: t44 RNA
Rfam family: t44 RNA
About the family: This family consists of a number of bacterial RNA genes of between 135 and 170 bases in length. The t44 gene is found between the map and rpsB genes in all species in the full alignment apart from Shigella flexneri. The function of this RNA is unknown.
Source: RNAcentral